GCCCCAGGGUUUGCUAGGCCAGCCGGGCUGCCAGGGAAAAGACCUCUGAAAGCUACGCUCACAAGACAGCAGGGUUAGCCACUAGCUCCAAGCAUGCCACCUUCUGUCUCCUGCUAGAGGAAAUCUUGUCUAGCUAAACUAGAACAGAGUGGAACGGGGGAAAAUUUCAGCUAAUUCUUGCAAAGGGCUGGCUGGGAAGUAUCAUGAGGUCUUGCAGGGAGAUAAGCAGAUGCAGAGAGAGGUUACACCUGCAUUAGGAAGCAGCAAGGUGUGGUAGGAGCGGAUCUGGGGAGUGAAAUGUUUGGUGCUGGUCCAAUGUAUUUGCUUGGGAUAGGUCUGAUCUGGCCCCAUGGCUUGGAACAUUCAAUAGCAGCUGGGACAUGUUGUGUGGGUCUCUGGAGCUCAGCGUGUCAUUUAGUUUUGUCUGAAAGGAAUCCAGUUCUGCAGCGUGGACCUAAAUGCAGUAAGUGGGGAAGGUCAGGAGAGUUGCCUCAAAAGGGCUGUCCUGCUCCAAAAUAAAACAAACACCGAUCCAGCUGCAGAAGAGUCUGCAGGAAGCUGGUCAAACCAGCCUCUCACUGCCGGAAAUAGCUAAUGAGAGUUAAUCUGAACACGCACGGCCUGUUUUAGUGUGUUUAUAACAUAUUCACUCUGAAAUGCUUUUGUUCCAAGGAAGCAAUACUUUGCAAUCAGGAAGUUGCUUGUUUCGUGAUUAGCCUUGCUGUUGUCCCCGAGGGAAGGGAUGGCACUGUCUGGACAGACUUUGAAUUGCUGAGAAAACUUGCAUCUGGUACUCCACCCCGGAUCCAGUCUACAGGUGGAAAAGUUGCCUGGUUCCUGCUGAUGACUUUGGAUUUAGGAGCCAAGAGAUGGUGAGCUGUGUGGGGCACAGCAUCACAUCAGAGUGGUGAGAAGUGUAGGUCACCAACUCGCUGGGACAUGAGUUUCCAGCCUCCGUUUGGCAGGAAGAUGUACAGUUACCAACCUGGAUCUCAGUGGGAAACAGGGCUGCUCUGAUUGCCGUGGAGUGAGCUGGAUCUGCAAGCUUAUCCGGAGCCAGUCGAGGUGUCCACAGCAGCAGCGUCGGCAGUUUUUUCUUACCCCUUGUGCAGUACAUCAAGACGUGUUUCCAUCCCUGUGCCCAUGCCAGGAGGAGGUACUGGCUCACCCAGCGCCGGCGUGGAUGGCUCCCAGUUCCCUUCAGCAAAAGCUCCGGCAGCGGCGGCCCCCCCGUGCUGCCUCCUGCCUGCGCCUCUGCCUGCCCUGGCGAGGCAGGACCCACGUCCUGAAGGGCGACCGUCUGUCCUGUGAGCCCCUGGAGCCCACGGCCUCUUCACCGGCGUCAGACCCAAGCGUCCUCCUGACAGCUCCAGCUGCACCGGGAGUCCCCAGCAUGUGCCAGGCCCUUGAAGGUGCUCAGCAUCUCUUCUUUUCAUCCAGACGUCAAGGCUUUCCGUCCGUCUCCCUCAAGCUGAGUCUGAGCCUGGAGGCACAGAGGUUACGGAGCUUUUUACCCCCCAACCAUCUGCACUCCAGAAUCAUCCUGUCUCGUAUGAUUUUCCAGCGGGGAAGAGACAGGCUGGGCAUUGAGAACUGGAGACUGCCGUGCGCCUUGGAAGUCCCAACAUGCCAUGAGUGGCCAAGACCUGCUAAAGUACGGUGACCAGGAGAGCUGCAGACACUGGAUUCCUAAGACCUGUGCUUUUCCUAGCACCUUCAUAAAGUUUCCUGAAUUAAAAUGAUUCAGGAAACACAUUUUCAGACUGUCAGUGAGAUGCAUUAAUCACUCCCGUGAAUAUGCACCAGAUUGUUAAUGCUUCGGGCCAAAUACCAUGUCUUUUUUAAUGCCUACAAAAUGUAGUGCAUGUUGCUGGCUCCAUAUUUAUAAUAAUUAUAAAAGUAACGGGAGUAGCUGCAUUCCUAUAGGCUAGAAAUGGUCAGGCACAGACCAAAAAAAAAAUGAUUCAUUGUUGCAAUUAAUGCUUGAGCUUGCACCUGUGAUUAAUUAGCCUGGCGAUAGCGCUAUGCAAAAGAUCAGGGUGAGAAUUAAUAGGGAGACAAGUGCUGACUUUUAAGAUGGUUGGACUACUAUUUAGUGCUCCUUCCUUGGGCUGCCUCUGCCCGUUUAAUUAAAGGCAAUGGCACAGGCUGGCUAUGCACCAGUAGACCCAUAGGCAGGUGGUGCAGAAUAUUUAUAUAACAGUGUUCUGUAGAAAACGUCAAAAUUAAAUUCCCAUCCAGGUCUCUAAAUAUAAUUUUGAAAUGUCAGAGAUGCUAAGAAGAAUGCUGGCACCGGAUGAGACUGCUGUCAGGAAGAGGCAAUAGCGUGCCAGAUUUAUACUGGUCUAAAUACGCAGGUGACUUCAGCUCUUGUGUGCAAGGCAGCCUAAAAUGCUCUGAUGGAUGUCCUUCAUCUGGUGGGAGGCAGAGGAACCAAGAGGAACAUGUGCUAGAGAGAUACCACCGAGUGUGAAUGAGAAGGGAGCGGGUACGGAGAACACGGUGUUGAUGGAUGUGGCCUGAUCAGAUGCUAAUGGAGAGAAGAAGGAUGAGAGAUGUUCCACUGGGAAAAGCUCUCUCUGGAAAGGGCUUUAGUACCUUUCCUGGAGCACCACGUCAGUGACAGGGUGGCAGUUUGCCUCUCUUAAAUGACCUUUUGAUGACUUUCAUCUCACAAGGUGACUCCGAUGGGCAAGAUGGAGCAGGGGCAUCUCCCAAGAGCCUGCAAGUUCCCGUGAAGCACAAAUACUCUGAAGCACCAACCUUUUAAGGUGCAUCUCAAUCACCUUCUUCUGAUGGCUGCUCCACCUCUCCUGCCAGCCCCCCUCCAGUUUGGAGAAUAAAAGCCAAUCAAACAUGCACUAGAGCCGGUAUUCAGGAGGUGAUCUGAUACUUUAAAGAAUGUGACAUACAAAUAUAUGUUCCAAACGAUGAUACUUUCAUGUUGCAUCGGUUAUACACACUUCGAGUCAGAUUAACUGGUGUAUCUUCUCUUCAAGAAAGCAAUUUAAUAACAAACUCGGGGAAUGGUACCUCUUCAGUGAACGCGGCUCAUGUGUCACAGCUCUUGAAGUGAUGGUGUGGGAGGCUUUUUUCUGGACAGUUUGCCUGGUGUGGCAGAUAAAUUGACCUUAUUAAUCUGCUUUUAUUAUAUGCUAAGAUCAGAAUAAUUUUGCUUGCUGCUUUUCUGUAGCGUCUAUUGUGGAUGCGUUUUUGUUUUAGGGGGUAAGUCAUUUCAGCUGAAAUGCAGUUAGGGACAUUUGCAUACACAUUUAUAUGGGCUAAUUAAAAACUUACCAUCAGAGUUGCUUUUCUGCUAACCACCACUGUACAGCAAAAUGGUUGUUACUUUUUGGAAAUAUCUGCUUCAGUGCAGGAAUAUGAACUUUUGUAAAAUCAUUUGAUCAAAUCUUUGGGGUUUAGAUUUUCAAUGAAUAAUCAAUAUUUGCAACAAUAGAUUUAAACAAAAAAUGGUGUUCAUUGAACUUUCUCUGCAGGAAAAAUCUAUAACAUGUAUUAUUAAAUAUAAAGAGGCUUAUGUUCUCGAGUUUCAUCAUGCCACAGCUUAUAAUAGCCCUUCAGAAGCUCAAAACAGGUUUUUUUUUUUUCAUUAAACAAAAUGUUGCAUUCCCCCUGCUGCAUUCAUUACAGGCAGCAUAUUGGAAGGUGCCUGUGCCCAGCAGUUCUGGCCUGGAGGGCUGCGCUCAUCCGUCUCCGUCAAUGCCGCGAGCUAUUUCAUAAGCAAUGGAAAUAUGUAUUUCAAAAGUGGAUGUGUAAGGGAUGACGGCAACAUCAGAGGUGUGAGGAACAGCGAAGGGACAUUUUCUUUGUGGCGUUUUCAUGGAUCUCCCUCCUGAGUAUCUAAGCGGGGAAACGGCGACUUCGACAGAGGUCCCUGGUGAUUAAGGGUGUAGCUGAUGAUGGGUGCAGCUCUUCCCUCGAGUCUCCCUCCAGCCCGUGGUCUUAACCCCGACCUGUGAGAAGUUCCCGCUCUCACUCAGAGAUAAAAUGCCUCUAUGCAGUUGCUUAUGCGGUUGGACAUUUUAGGAAACGAUAGUGGUCUCUAGGGCUGGGAAUACAAGGAUUUCCAGUGCCACCACCAAGGAGCUGGGGGAAAAAUCUGUGUCCCUUCAGUUGUUGGAUUUGCCAGAAGCGGGACUUGCAUCACUUUGGCAGCCAGGCAGACUUGGAUUGAAGAAAUGCUUCAGUCAUGUUUUCGUUCCCCAUGGCUAAGUUCCAAUAUCCAAAAUGGGAUUACCAGAAGUGAAAUGCAGUUGAGUUUUGCCUCUGCUGACCUUCAGCAGCUGCUGUUCCAGCCCUGGCUCCCCGGAGAGCUCUGGGGAUGCACCUCCAUACUCAUGUGUCAGUCUGAUAUUCCUGUCUUGAGCCUGUCCUAAGCCGAGGCUGCCAACUAAUACACAUACCCAACUGCAGAGAUGUCACAAGCCGAUGGAGACCUUUCCUGCAGCACUUACAAAUAUGUUUUGCAAGGCAAAAAUAAGCAGUAAUGCAAACAUCGUACUCUUUUUUUUCUUUUUUUUUUUCUUUCUUUUUCCCCCCUUUGCUUCAGGAAAGCAGGAAGAGGCGAGAAAGGAUUGAUACUUUAUCCCACUGAGGGCUUUUUCUAAGAUGCCUGCUGGGAACACUCACUAUAUUCUCUUUAGGUAGUAGCUCUUUUGAUUUUCUCGCUGCCUUGCAAGUCACACUGAGGUGCCUGGAGAAGGAUUUGCUGAUUGCUUAUGAAAUCCAUUCUCCCUUGAGGAUCUGCUCUUUCCAUCCUGAUAAACUUUUAAUUCUUGCUUUCUAAUAACGCUGAGGGACUGUGUUCUAUGCCUUUAUGAGGGUUUUGUGAUUGAUGUUCAUCUGCGCUUGCAGGAGACCAGUAACCUCAUUUCAUUUUUGACAGAGCGUCAGGACAAGCGCUCUGUAUCCUUCUCCCUUCUUGGUCAGGUAUGAAUGAAAGUAAAGCGGAUACGAUCUGCCCAGGUCUGUCAGCCUGGCUCAAUUCUUCUCUCUCACCAUAUUGCUAAACUUCUGACACUGUUUCUGUCCAGUGUGGCAUCUGGGCAUGUGUUUAAAGGACACGGUCAGCUUAUUUUUGAUAUCGUUCUGUUAUCUUGUUUUUAUUCUUGGUUCUGUACGCUAACGUCUGGGAUAUUUGGAAGUAGCUGUUGUAACUUGACGUGGGAGUAGAUUGCUUAAAUAAUACCUUACAGAGUCAGGGUAAAUUUAUAGAAGAUGAGACCUGGACCCCAAAUGCCUUUUUUUAACCUGUUACUGUCUUUUCUUCAGUUCUAUUCUCUCUGCUCACUCUUUCUGAUCUAUUUCUAGCAGUUUUCAGAUGAACACGGCUCAUGUUUUAUGUUUAGACUGACCUCAUCUGUGAUACCGCAACGGUUUCUACAUGGCCAGUGAAGAGAUCUUACACCUAGGUGCAUGCACACGUGCACACACACCGGUACACACCACUGGUGAAGGAUUUGUCAGCAUGAGAAGUCCUGGAGGAAAAAUGCCCAUAAUGAAUUCAUAGAAAAUACACAAAAUACUAUACCCAGAUAGCCAGGAGAAAGGACAUUGGGAGCACCUGUACUGAAAGGGAGAAGGUAAAAGAGCCUGUGAGCAUACCCUGCUUCCUGUGCUGUUAUGCUGAUUCUAAACGCAGGUCUGAACGCAAGCUCGAUGGCAACUCUCUGCUCCAUCUGCCAAGGCUCCAGCUCCAAACAGCUUCUCGGCAUCCACCACCUUCUUUUUCAAAACCAGGCACCAACACUGGGGACUGGAAGCCUGCAGCUGGGAGCAAAGAGUGUCUGCCGCAGCCUGCUGAAGCCCAUCGGCCAAGGCACCCCCAGACACAGCAGUGCAGCCCCUUUCCAGCAGCCGAGCCAUGUGCAGCGGCUGUGGCACAAGGGAGACAUGCGUCUCACAGUUCCCAACACAACCGCAAGCAAUAUCCUGAACGGUGCUUUCUAACUUCAGGUGAAGAAAAGCAACAGAAGCAGAUGGUCUUGUAAACAGCGGAGAUCUGGCUCUCCCACAGAGGUCCGUGCGGAGUGGAAAGGAGCAGAAUGGUGCACCAAGGGGACACUCGCAAGGGAAACAGGAAGAAAAAGCCAGUGCUGACAUAACCUGUCAGGGCCUUCAGGCCAGGUGUUGACAAACCUCCCAGUCCAUCUAGCCGCCCCCAAGAAGCAGUACGGGAACUGUUUCUUGAAGGGAGACUACUGCAGAUCCCGUGGAGAGCAAGAGUCACGGAGAAAAGAUACCUAUGAAAGAUGGUUCCAGGUUGGGAUUUUACAGAGGUUUGUGCUUGAUCUAGGGUUGAAGAGUUGGUGUUUCUAUUUUUCGUGGGGAUUGGGAGGGGAGAGAUUACUGAGUCCCCGAGUCUUAAUGUAAAAUGAUUAGAAUCUGGAACAGAUUCCCCAAAAAAGACAUUUAGGGACAACUAAAUGCACAAAGCAGCUUGAAUAUACCUGCCACCAGAGUUCAUUCAGUCCUGGAUAAAGCAUCUGAAAUGGGCAGUGCUUUAAUAAAGUACAUAUGUCUGGGGACUCAAAAUACAGGAAAAACUUAUGAGGAGGACGAGAUAACACUUUCUCCAUUUCUUAGAAAGGGAGAAAAUGCCAAAAAGUUAUUAUUUUUUUUUCCUGAGAAUGCCUCGGCUGGACAAGAACCACUGCAGGUUAAGACAAUCCCCAUAACCCGACACUUGCAGAACAAGUGGGCUCACUUCGUCUUGGCACAGGUAGUUCUGGCAUUUCUAGGGAGAUCUGUAAUUCCAAGUAAUAACCCCGGAGGUUAAUUGAAGUCUGAAAAUAAGUUUAUUUGGUAGGUGGGCUAGAGGGGUUUUUAAUUAUGUGUUUAGAUCAGUGUCGCUUUAAGCGUUAAUUUUGCCUGGGAAAGGAAGCUGUAGUAUCAGGAACAACACCUUCAAACAGCUGAGAUUUGCAGACAGAAAAUCGGGGGGGCUGGCAAAAGCCCAUAGCCUGUUACGGCAGAUGGAAAUGAGCUCUGAAUUAAAAGAAUCUCUUUUGUUUGUUUUGGGCCAAAAAUAACUGGACACUGCGUAAGGCCUGAGAAUGGGUGUUCAGCAGUUUUUUGACAGUCAGGCUGUCAGAAGGAAGCGCUCUGAAAUGCAGACUAUACACAUCUGAUUUUUUUUAUUUUUACCUUAUUUCUCUUUUCUGCUUUGUGUGUCAUAGUCUCCUUGCAGUUUUCCAGAGGAGAGUUACUCUUCCACUUGUUCCCCUUUGCCUCCUACUGAGUCAAUCCCUUUAUUUUCCACCAUUAUUUGUACUGUAGUCACUCCCAGAAUCUGGGAAAUCUUCCUCAGAAGUCUCCUUGUCUCCUGAGCUUACUGCCAACUCUCCCACUAAAGCUUUUCAUUCUUCAUUAUAAAGAAGAAUAAAAGGCCAGAAACGUGCGCCGUGACACCCAUUCAGGUGCCAUUACCCUGUAAUUCUUUAAAAACUCUAUAUGCAUUUAUAGUGGCUGAGAAUUGCUACAGUGGGAAGCCUACGGACUAAAUUGGUGUUAGCACAUGAAAGAGAAGCAAGUGCUGUGGCCUGGAAUGGGGCACCGGGUUCUGGUUUUGGUUUGGAGACUGACUCACUCAGGGAAAUCAUUUCCCUUCUCUGUGCACCUGUUUCCACUCCCCACCUCUAAUUGUCUCUCUGUUUAGACUGGGAGCUCUUCAGGACACAGCCCGUCUCUUGCUGCGUGUACGUACAACGCCUCAGCACAAGGGAGCCUUGUCUUGGUCGGGGCCUUGGGUGUUCGAGUAGAACAAACAAGAAUAGAAGGUAUGCGCAGACAGCGAGGCAAGCUUCCCAGACGUGCUGCCGUGCGAGCAUGUCUGAAACCCGAUGUGCUGGAAGCUGUCUCUCUUCCCAGUCCUUGGCUUCUCUCAGCCGGCCAGCAAAGCAUUAACCAGUUCCAAUUACAAUGGUGAGGUGAACUGGCAUGUUCCCAGUUCCACUGGGAACCGGUGUGAAAUCACUAAACUCAUUUUGCAAACCCAAGCAGCGCCUGAUCGGAACCUCCGUCCCGCACAGCUACCGACCUGCCUGGAGCUGUGCCACCUCCCUGCAGGUGAAAAGCUCCUUCCGUCGGCCCUGAAGCUCAGAGCCAUCUCAUCCCGCUCCCAGCCCACACCACACACGCUGGAGCCUGCUCCAAUUUGCCAGCAGAGAAACGAGCAAAACCAUUUUCUCCUUUCCUCCCUGGUCUGAGGAGGUGCGUACAUGUCUCUCUGGCUUUUCUUCUUGUCCGCCGGCUUUUGCAUAGCCCCUUCCUCCCAUCGCCUGCUCAUUCCCUGCACUCCAUCCCAUCUUUUGCAUUCCUCCCUGGUUUGAUACAGCAUCUCGCCAGUCCUGCUUCACACUAAGAGAAGGGGUAUUAGAUGGAUUCCCCAUAGAGUAUAAAUUGAAUGGAGAGAAGUGGCUGGUUUCCCAGCAAUAAUUUAUCUGAUUAAAAAAAUACUCCCCAAACUCCCCCCUCCUCCUCUGGUCGUACGCCCCCUCCAAAAAAGAACAUUGGCACUCAGGCUAGUGUUUGAACUGUAUUAUUCAAGUUGCUGGAAGGGGGAUUUAGAUGGGAAAAUAACUGUCAAAAGAUGGCUCUCUGGGGAAAAAAGCAUGAGCUCUGAAAUUUGGGACAUGGGUUGUUGUAUGGAGGAGGCAGAGAGAGUAAAUAAUUCUGAGUCAAGUACCUCCGUGAUUUCUAGCUUUGCCCUCAUCUAACAAAUAUUUUACACCGGUGAGCACAGAUGCACAUGUACAUGUGCACACACAUGUGCCCCCGCACACACGUUUCAGAGAAGAAGCCAUUAGCAGUGACUCCAAAGCACAGCAAGCUGUUCCUGCUUUUCCCUUUCUCCUCUCUUUGUUUUUGCCUUACUUCAGGGCAGGUUCCAAAUAAAAGAAAAAUCCGCUUCAUAAAACGCUUGUCUCCUUGUUUGUUACCUGUGCAGGUUUUAUUCCUUUCAAGUCAGCGCCAUCCAAGGCUGGCAGUUUUCUUCUCCUGCCAAAGCCAACAUUCCUUUACUCACACAGACUGGGGUAACUGGGGAACGGAAAAGUCACCCUGACACCCCUCUUCAUCACAACAAAGCAGCGUAGGUGACCUGAACUACGUGUUUCUGGCCUGUCUGUAUUUUGCUGUUGCCUUUUUCUUUGUGGGAGAGAGGCAGGUAUUUUAAAUUUCAUACUGCUCCCACAGUACGCCGUGAUUUAUAACAGGAGCUACCUUAUUAAUGUCAAGGGCCGAAUUGCUACCGAUGCUCAAGCUGCAGGAGCGUAUGAAAAUCAUUUAGUUAGCGAUGGCGUGGUCCCAGCACCGAGGGCUGUUAGCUGAUGUACAAUCCUCUCUCUGCUCGCAGCCUCCGCCAAGUCUGCCUGCUCAUUUCUGGGCCAGUGGGUGAAACAUGAACAGGCCCAUUCUGAACCGCAGCUUUUCAACCUCAGAGCAACCUUAAGCGAGUCGCCAGGACUCGGGUUUCCUUGCUUUUUGACAGGAGUACUGUUCAGAUGAAACCUCUCUCCGCUCCUUCUGGAGGAUUUACACUGCCACAAGUCUUCAUUUUUUCCAGAUGUUUUACCUAAUAAAUCAAGGAGUCUCAUCAGAGGAUUUGAAUCCAAAAGCUGUUACCAUGACUUCAAAGGCGCAGGCUGGAAUGGAAAGAAGCAGUGCAGACAUUUUAUACCACUCUGUAGUCACCGACCAUGAAAAUACACUCUGGUUCCAGGAUUUUUUCCUGUGGAUACCAAAACUCCACCGUGAUUGAAUAAAAUGGUGCCGUGCUCCUUCAGCCAACCCUUGCUUAAAAGAAUGGAGCUGCAGACCUCGCAGGCUGUACGGUUGGCAUUGGUGACCGAGGAUGGGGCUGGUCCUGGGAGGAGGUGAGCUCUGCCAACCCCCGUGCAAGAUCAGGGACCGUUAACUCAGGUUUGAGCUUGCUCUGUCUUUACAGAUCAAUACGUGGCUGCGUAUUUUCUCUCAGUGAUAGUUUAAGCUGUUCUCAAGUAAAGGAUUCAGACGUCCGUUCAUAUUCUUCAGAUUGUUGGGAGAGAAGAAGAUAAAAAGAGUUACAUGGCUGCAAAGUGUGUUUGUGAUUAUUUGUGCCGGUUUGUUCCUUGAUCAAGAAUGUGACUUCUUUUUUUUUAAUAUAGUGAACCCUUUCUUUUUACAGUGACUAAAUGGUGUCAUUUUCUUUCACUGUUACAUUUCUAAAGAUAAAUGCUCCAGCGUUUUGAGAAACUGUUAUGUAUGUGUUUCUAAUUACUCGAUAGCACAGUGUACUGCAGGAUAAUGUAAUGAAGAAAAGCAGCUGAAGAAAGAAAAGAUGUUCCUGCAGGUAGUCGAGCUGAAGGCCUAUGAGACUGCGUUUUGGUUCCCUGCUUUCCUGAAGAGUGCUGGUGUGGCUCCGGCUGCUCUAGGUGCUGCCCAUCAGAGGUGCCCAAGCUGUGGGGCCACAUGCUGAAGAGUUUCCCAGUUGAAUUUGUCUCACCGCUUCACAAACAGUUGCAUGAGCAGGACGGAGUGGAUGGUGCCAGGUGAGGAACAAGCUGCUGGUGGCAGGAGGGAGAAGGUGGUGUGGCUGUGGGGAGCGCCUGCAGCCAUGAAGAGGGGUGCCCAGCUUGAGUGUUGAGUUUCCAGGGAGGAUUUGGGCUCUCUCCUUCGCAGGCCUGCCUCCCUGCGAAGCCACGAAGAGGGGAGGCUGGGACAACCUCCUGAGGGUGCCUACAGCAGGUGAGGUGCGCAGAGACUUUGGCUCGCGCUGUCUGCGGAUUCUGGCACAUGAAUAAGUUGUCACUGGGGGCUGUCGAGGGAGGGCUGAGCUAACCCUCUCUUACAGUGCUUGCAGGUUAAAAGCAUGCAGAGCUCUUACUGCAAAGCAGAUGUGUGCUAAACUGCUCACGAGCCAGAUCUCCGAGGGAAGUGGAGACCGGAGCUCUUGGAGUGCUGUGAAAAUACUGUGCAACCACCAGUAAACACAGAUUUGGGACGUGAAUUUACUCCACUUAGACUAUAUUCUGUGUGUCCCAGGCAGCAGUGAGAGAGAGGGCAUUUGGUGCUGCAACAUGCUUCACCAGAUCUUAAAAAAUCGCCAUGGUUGCCCAACAGGUUUUCACGUAGGAUGUUUCAGGGCAGGGGACGUCCUGCUGCAUUCUGGUGGAGGGUUGUCAGGGUGGGAAGAGCCAGGUAAGUAUCUCCUGCGUUGUGAUGAUAUCAUCAGACUGAAAAAUAACCUCAUCUGAAUAUAAAUGUUAAAUAACCGUUACCACGAUACAGUUUGUUCCUGCCACAGACUUCAGAAAAAUUGCUGCUUAUCUUCCCUCCCCCAAGAUGCUGAAGCCCAGCACCCCAAACUGUCGUGACUGCCUGGGAUUGGUGACAUCUAGAGUGAUACGUGUUGGAUCAUCCGAACGGAGUGGGAGCAGCACAGCUCGGCUUCGGGAGCCAAAAAUAGGUACUAUCAUUUCUGAGCUGAAGCCUCCCUUCUCUUUCCCCACCCAGCCCUGCCUAUUUGGCACAUGCAGCACGUUAUCGUGGUGUUCACAUGGUGCCAAAGAAAAACCACAUUCCUAAAGCAAGCAGCGCGUUAAGUAGCGGACAUGCUUUGGAGGCAGAGUAUAUUAUAACAUGGAUCCUAAAUUAGUGAGCACAAAUGACAAAGGUUUGCAGAUUUUCUACGGGCAGUGGGUAUAGAAGGGAGUACGGCUCAUCUGAUGCAUUGCCAUGUGGAAAAGCAUCAGAGAUGUUCAGAAACGUGCCGUAAAAUAGGGAGCUUGAAUUCCUUUCACUGGACAGCUGCUCACAUACUUGUAACUGAAUGAUUGAGUGAUGAAUGUAGCACGUUUGAUUUUUCUCUGCAUCUUUCAUCUCUUUUAUUCUGUAGCUCUGUGAAUCUUGGUCAUACUUUCACCUUUUUUUUAAAGUCUAGUCACUGGAGUAAGUAUUUGUCUGCUUCUGCCAAAUCCCAAAAGCUACAUUUCAUUAAAAAAACACGAUUAUUCAGGAAGGGUGAAGUUUGAUUCACAAAGAUAACGCUCUUUGAAGAUGUCUGCUCCUUUGGUGGUGACUGAUUUAAAUGGGCUCCGUUUUAGUAUGCCUGUUAUGCUGUUCUCAAGGCCACACAAAGGAGGAGGAAUUGUGUGAGGCCAUAUAAAUCAGGGUUUGUUAUAGGGAUGUCAAACACAACUGCACCACGGGGUGUUAAUGGUGAGCAGGCAAGUAGUCAAAAGCAAGUCAGAACCAACUAAGAAAAGCCACAAAGCUAAUCUGUCUGGUUCUUGAUGCUUCCCAAAAGUGCAGUGUCGGCACACUCAUGUUCUGUUCUGGGAGAAGCUUGGAGUGUUAGACUGAUCCAUAUCGCGUUUUCAAAGUGCUCCAGUAAUUGGAUGAGUAGGUUUGGUGGAACAUCGUUGGAUCUCAAUUUCUCCCAUCAGGAAAGAUCUAAAAAUGAAGCUAUGUGAGCACAUCACCAGUCCAGGUUUCUUCCUUCUAACACCAAGCUCACUCCACGAGCUCAGCUAAAGCAGCGGUGACCAGGCCACUGGAAACACACAGUAAAGGACCUGUUGGAUUAAACUUCCAUCAAACAGUUGAUCAUUGUGUGGAGGAAGAAAACUCCCAAUCUUUGUGCAUGCAAAUAAGAGUUUCCUCCUUUUCCAGCAGCACUUUGUGAGCAGAGUGGAGAGCAGCCAAGAAAAUUUCACCAGACUGAGAAAUAUAAAAAACUUUUCAGUGCACACACGAAGUGAAAGCUCUCAAGCAAAGUUUUGUGUGUACUCGACCACAGAGAUACUGCCCGCACCAGACCCUUUCUCUAGAAAUGUUCCCCCUCGAUAUGGCUGCUGCAGUGGGCCCCGUGUUGCAUCUCAUAGUUGGAUUCUUCCAGGUCCUGGUGACCUCUCCUUCUGCGUGGAUCAUUUAUGUGCAGGUUCAUUGUGAGUUAAGUCCCGAGGCUCUGACUUCAUUGAGUUCCUGAGUGCUGGAAUAAGAAGUGAUUUGGGACCUGGGUGGUGCAGCCUUUGGAGAAGGUGCCAAUGCACGUGCUGUCCCCCUUCCUCAGCCCCAUAGUAUAGGAAGCCUUGAGCACUUCAGGUUUUUGGGGGGUUCCGCUCACUCUUUCCAUCACCUGCUCUUGCCUUUAAGACCCAAGGCUGCAUAAUGGACCAUGAGUCUCAAAGGCAGGUUUAUGGGCACAGAGCAGACCAUGGGAGGGAUGUGGUUUUCUGUCCCAGAAAGAACGCGCAAUCUCUGCAGUUUUCCAGAUAGCUGUUAGUCCAGAAGAGAAACUGAGCUCAAACCUCCUGAAAAGUAGUGUGCUUUCUAGCCAAAAUGAAGCUGUUAGAGCUUUAAAAUGGACCGUGAGGCUUCUUUUGUACAAAAGGAAUUCAAGACCGUGGAAAGUUUCAGGGACUGAAUGUAGGUUGUGAGCCAGGAUGUUGGAUGAUCACAUGAGCCCAUUGGACAGACUGCCCACACGUGCUCGCACAUGUGCCUGCGAGCACAUACCACUGUGGUUUCUCUAUUAGUUUUUGUUAUUUCUCAAUAUUCCCAUUAAUAUUUAAUGUAUUUAUCUUGGUUGCUGGUAAUGACGGCAGUGAAAGUGCUGACUCUGAUGUCCCUCUGGGAUGUGACAUUGGCUUCGGACAAUCCAACAUUUUUGUGUGGGCCUGCAAAAAAUGUCCUGCCUGCUACCCUCCAACCCCAAGAACAUUCCUGGCUUCUCUGAUAACAUCCUUAAGCACAGCACUGAUAUAAAGACUUUCCUUUAGAUGAAUGACCUGACACUUCCAAAUAUUUAUUUUCUGGGACUUCUGGGUUACUAGAAGCUAUUUGAAUUCCAGCUAUUCCUAGUAAGAAGGACUUCAGCUAUCUCAGUCCUAUACCUAUAGCAUCUUUCCGUUUCACAGAUAAUAUGUUGGAAGUAAACAAAUUUGGCAAGACUAGCAAGCAGGGAAUGAGAGUCCAGAUCAGGACAGACUGGAAUAACAGUGGUGCCCUGGUAGCUUUUUGGACAACAGUAAAUGAAACGGGAAAAGAAGAGUCCUGGUAGGUAGGAGGAGCUGGGUGAACUCCAGGCAGGGAACAACAGAGGGUGCUGCAGGUCACAGCCGCGCUGUGGGAAGGGUGGCACAUGCUUCAGUCGAGGUGCGGGGAUGCAGCUGAGAUCCCUGGGGGUGGCCGGUUGUGUUGCGACAGCGACGGAAAUGACUGUGGGGGAACGAUGGGUGAGGAAAGACCGAGGUGGGGCUGAGUAACACCAGAUAUGAGCCAGCGGGGUUCACGUCUCCCUUUAAAAUCAGGUCAAGCAGAGCCCUGCUGCUCGUCCUGAACAAAAGGGCUGUGUUUAGGAAGUGGCGGCUCCCCAGCAGCCAGUUUGUCCGUGGGAGCUGGGUGCGCUGCAGGGCAGAGGAGAGGAUGCACGCAGACAGACGCGGUGUGCACACAGGUACCCUCCAGCUCCAUGCACAAAGCUGGAUUUUGCCUUUGUGAACAUUUGCCAAUUAUAACAUAUCGUGUGCGUCAAUAGUGCCUCUAACUUGCCUUAAUACCUUUUUAUGAGAAUAAAAUUUGUUCUUAUAUGGUGCUUUUCAUGCUUGAGGCAGUUCAAAGCGCUUCGCUAAGCACAGUAAUGAGUUGGAUCUGGGGAGCGCAGUGAUUGUGUAGGCAAAUACAGGGACUUUUAUGUGCUCUGCAAUAAUUCACAGAGCCGCCUAUGCUAGCAACUGUUUUAUUUAUUGAAGGGAGGAAUGUUGGCUGGAUCUCAUGGUUGUCCUCUGGAAGAUUUUAAUGAUCUUUAGCUUCCAUUAUAGCAAGGCACCUCGGAGAAACUGGAGCCAAGAGACCUCGCUCGAGGAACAACGUGUGGAGCUGCACAGGGCUGAGGCAGCCGUGUCCGCUGAGGGGAGGGGCCCGAGAUCAGCUGCAGCCCUUCAGCCUGAGAUUUACCUUUCUCAAGCAUUUUGCAUCUCUCUGAAUCCUCCCCGUGCCUUCAGGCUGACUCUGAUAUUUGAUGUCUCUUUUACCUUACUUUUAGUUGUAAAAUAAAAGCUUUUUUUCUCUGGGACCUUCCACCCCUAGGUCUUGAAGAGGGAUUACUGAGUUUAACAGUGUCACUGUGAAACACCAUGGAAAUAUUGCUCUUCUCCACGGGAAUAAAGGCAGAUUUAAGGCUAGAUCCAAGCAGACAUCUGAAGUGAAAUUUGCACAGAAUUUAGGCACCUUUGUCCAACGUUAUGAUCCUGAAAAACCUGCUCUCAGCUUUCCCUGCUGCAGGAGCUGUCUGUGCACUGCAGACUUUGUUUUCAGUGUUUCUUCUUCCCGUGGCUUCUCAAAGGCACUUGGGGGUAUAUUUUGCCAGACAGACCUUUCCUGAUGCUGACCUGCUGGCCAGACCGUGUCUGCGAUUUCUCCCUAGAAUAUUUGGGUCAAAAUGAACUGGUGUGGUGGAGGAGAGCAGUAGCUGUGCUUCCACUGGCCUGCCCAUCUGUGCUGGUAGGUCCCCUGUGCAUGACUGCAAAACACCAUGUCCAGUCCAGUCCUCAAAGUAAAUGCAUGUCUUUUUACCUUUUCUAGACGAGGCCAAAUGAUCCCUAGUACAUUGCCCGUAGCUUCUGUGGGGACAGAGUAAGGGUUGGGGUGCCAUUCCUAAUAUUAGAUAGGCCUUGGUGGAAAAUACACAUUAUCCACUUCUGCACUACAGCGAUAUUUCUCCAAAGGGAGCCAGCUUUUUCCUGUUGCUGUGUGAUGAUUUGAGGAUUCUAUGAUUCCAGAAGCCUAAUGAAGAAAGUGAGUGGAGUCAAACAGGAAGAUGCUGGCCCUCUAGGCGUUCUGUCAGUGUAGACAUCUUCAGAGACUCGCUACCUACACAGUGACCUGGCCUGUGCAGCUGGGCUCUUUUGGGCGGUUUAGUGUAUUCGGCUUACUGAAGUGCUUGCCUUCCUGGCAGAGGGUUUACCCUUUGGUGUCCCCUUUGCGCACCACAGCAGCCGUACAUAGCAAAAUAGUUAAAGAAAGAAGUUUUUUUGGCAUUUGUGAUGCCCCAGGAAGCCUUCCAUGUUCAAGGAUAGCCUUGAAACGCCUCCUUAAGCUCCUGUGAGGCCACUUAUGCUGCGCCUCCUGGGAACAAAGAGAAUUUGCAUGACUUUUCAACAUCUCCUGCCUGCCCAGUGAUUUGUGUGCUAACUCAGAAUAACAGUCAUUACCUCUCCAGAGUUCGGGGCACUAGAGGGUUUCAAACUGCAUUGCAAACAGGGCAACCCCGCUGACAUGAAUAGAGCUGGUCAAUUUGGAGUGUAAACAGAGUCUGACUUACUAUUAAUUAACUUCCUAGCAAUCACAGAGGUAAGAAGAGAAAGGUGUCACUCAGUCUCCUCUGGAAUGGGACAGGGGAGAGUAGCUUGAAUUGUCCAGAGCAAAAUGACACCCAGCUAAGACUGUAAGUAAAGAUUAAUACACUCUCUAAUUGAAACCAGACGAAACAUUCAACUAGGCAGCCUACAAAUGCUUUACAAAAAGUACAAAGCAAAUGCUUUUUGUAUAAGCAUUAAUCUUUAUGCCUCACUAGGGUCAUAAGCACGAGUGAGAGUGCAAGGAGAGCAUUCGGCUCGGUCAGCAUUGGUCUGUAAAGAUCUAUGUCCAGUUCUGCACUUAAUUCUCAUUAUCUGGGGCUAUUCAUUAGCUCCUUUCAGUUUCGCUGUGAAGAUCUGUAUGUUAGGUCUCCUGAACGCUCUUGCACAUAAAGAUCUGUCAUUGAUUGCUCGGGCAGCUAAAUUGGGUAGACAGUUCACUGCUCAAAGGUAUCUCAACUUUGCAUCCUUUUCUGCUGGGGCAGGAAUACUGGGGAUGACUUCAAUCUUAUUGUAAUCUGCUUGUACACAUUGCUUUUCUAAUUUCAUGCCUAGGUAUGGCAUUUCCAUUACAAAGGAGUUUUGUUGGUUGAGCUCUGCUGGUCUGGGCCUUUCAAAAGCUGAUCAGAGCUUCUGGUCAUGUGCUUCUCCUCUUUUCCUGCAGAACAAAACAUCAUCUACACAGAUCCUAGGGUAUCAAAGCCCAAGAAACAGUUCAAGUGCCAAACACAACCCAAAUGGCAGCCUGAGAAAAUUAUGUCUCCCAUCGGGGCUGUUGAAUAUGCACAACGUAUGGUCUGUUUUCCUAACGUGCCUGUCAGAACCCUGCUGAUGCCUCCAGCAGAGAAAAAUAUUUGGCAAGGCCAUUUCCCCCCCAACUUUACUCCUUGCAGGAAACAGAAAAAGUUCUUUUACUACAUAUUUAUUUGUACUUAGCUGUAAUCACAAAGGGUUGCAUUUUUCCCCCUUUCUCUGGUGACCCGUGAGUGUCCACUUGCUGUCAGUUCUGCAUUUCCUCUUAUCUUUCACAGAGCUGUGAGCCUUUUCACCACCCCUGCCUCUCGUGUCUGCUAUACUCCACGUAUCACUUUGAUAGAGGAGAUGAGCUUUAAGGUGGGUGCGCUCUAUUCGGGUUUACCCAGCACCCUGUGCAGGCUUCCCUAUUUUUUUUUAAAUCCUCAUUCUCUUGUUCAGGUACCCCGGGGAAGGUGUUCUAAUGUGAACAAGGCUUUUCAACACAACUAUGUACUCUGCUAAUUUUUCAGACCGUCUCUUUUGCCGUCUGUUGUUUCCCCAUAAAUUUAACACUGGAUUCCUUUGGUCAGAGAGAAGAUCCCCGCUGUAAGUGCUGACGUAGAGCAGUUUCUCUCACUACCCAAUUUCAAGAGUCUGCUUGCAGCUGUUUUUGAGGGGCCAUUAAUACCAAUUUAUCUUUCAAGCCGUGGUUUGCUCACCCUCUGCUACAGUGUCACCCCACCCUGCCCUGGCCCAUGAAGUACUCCGGAGGGGGGUUUUCUCCACACUGACGGCUGUGUUGGCAUUCGCACGUGCUUGAUAUCAUCCAUCACUUGUGUCCCAAAGAUCGGUUCACUGGCCUCAGACCCGCAGUUUGCAAGGUGGUCUCCAAAUCAGCUGCUGCGGUGCAACAGAUCCAGCACUGGACUCAUCGAUGCCCGUGUUAAUUUACUUCCUAGCAUGACCUGGCUCACUGCAGAUGCUGCAACGACAACCCCAGACAGAGCAGAUGAGCGCUGCCUGAUACCUGGCCUCCACAAGCGCAGCUGAGCAGCCCCCUGACCAGUGGAGGGGUCCCAGAGCUGGAGAGAGCUUCCUGCCAGGCCGGCCUUCUAGACUAUCACCUCUCUGGGGAAAGGACUUGCUUUUAUUGUGCGAUCCUACACUAGUCUAGUACAAUAGGACCCAACCUCAGGUAAGACCUUUAGGCACUCCCAUUAUGUGAAUGAGAACAAGAUUGUUGGUGUCAGUAAUUAACAUUCUUGUGGGAUUGUUGGAAAUGCUUUGGGAUAAACACCACCUGGAAUCCUCGUCUGGCUUACUUGGAUUUUUAAGCUGCAGAGGAGGCUGAUCCUGUUCACGCGAGAGGGCACGGACCAUCUGUCUCUUCUCUCACUGGGUGUGCAAAAAGUCUUUCAGCCCAGAGAGGAGUUAUGGUACCUCAGCGAGAAGCGGGACACUGGAAAAGUGAGGGCAUUGCCAGUGGGGAAGAAGAAUGGAGACUCGAUUUUCAGUGUGUCUCCAGUGAUGAUCCCACCUGAGAACAAAGACUAUACGGCAACAACCAAAACAGAGAGAAAAAUACCAAACUAAGUGUCCCUGAUAACACUGUGAAUGCCUGUGGCACAGUGUCAUCCCAUGACAGGCUUCCAGAGAUGAAAUCUCACUCUGGUUACUUGGAUGGCAAAAAUCCCAUUGACUGCAAUAACACCAGGCUUUCCCCUUGGGGGUUACCUGGAUUUCCCUCCUUCUGAAUGCCCAGACAGCCACAUCCCACAUUAUUAUGCACGUUCCAAUAACAAAUAAAUUAUUCUUUUCCUUUAAAGUGCGGACUGGAUUUGGUAAACCCUGUGUUUUGGAUUCUAGGUUCCCUCUAUCUACCUCUGAAAUCCCUAAAUAAACAAACAUUGGAUUAGACCUCAAAAGCUCCCUCCACUCAGCAACUGAAGCUUUUAAAAGCAUUUCACACCAACUGCUCCACUCGUAUUUCAGAGUCCGUUAAACACUGACUCAAGCGAAGGAGCUCCAUCUUUCUCUCAGACUUCCCAGGGAACUAACUUUAGUUAUUGGAAGGUCUGCCUCCAUUUAUGACCCUCCCUGACUCCAGUGAGGAGCUGGAAUUGUCUAGCUGUUGACAUCAGGAAUGACAUAAAUAUGUGCUGGGGUUAGAGGGUUUCUGGCAAACGGCCCGUUAACCUAGGAUUUGCUCUGCACAGUCAGGCGGGGAUGACUUUUAACCUCAGAGCAGUUUUCAAAACCGCAUUUGUGACCAAUAAAUAUGAAAAUAAAAAAAAAUUAAAAACUAGUCCCUACUGAAUGAUGGAAGACAGCCUACCUGGCUGGGCACUGGGGUGCUGGAAUCAGUAUGGAGACCUGUGCAGGAAUAACCAGACAGGUCACCAUUGCCAGAAGGUCUGUGGGUGCAGCCGAUACCUCGUACACAAGGGAGGCAGCGCAGCAGAUUAAACCGAAGCUAUCUCAUAGCUGUACCUCUUAAACUCAAUGAGACAGCUCUUUAUUUGCGCUGCAGCCCCUUUUUAUCCCAAAAUUGCCUUAACCAGCUGCUAGAGGAUGCCCAGUAAUGGGAAAUUCUCUAGAUAACAAUAAAUUGGUGUAACGAUUCAGUGUCACCUCACAUCCUGCUAAGCAAUAGAGAAAUCAUGAUCAGAAAAACGGACACAACCAGAGUGCCACUGAGCAGUCGAAUCCUAAUUUCAUCACUCUUCUUGUGGGCCACAGAUAACACAGUGCAAUUUACAGCAGCUCUGAAGCGGCUCCAAAUCUCAGCAGGAGUCAGAAAGGCUCAGCAUUGGCCGGGACUGAGGAGUCGCAAAAGACCCGUGAAGCGGUCGUUGUUCCAUGACCUUGCUUCUGCACCAAAAACCAGUAGGCUGGUUUGAAAUAUGAAGCACCUCAAGCAAAAGAUAAAAUUUUAAUCACUGCAAUUAAGGUCCUCCUCUGGGUCCCUCUCUGGAGAGAACUGUCUGUCUCCAGUGAGCACGCACAGACUCCCAACGAAGGUAAAUUUUGAAUUCAGAACUGUACAACGUCAAUGUGUGAAUGACAGCAUUAAAUCUUGGCUGUAAGGCUGAGAUAUCUCCAAGAGGAGAAAAAACACUUUUUCUACUCAACCAUGUAGCAGUGGCUGAGGUAGAUGAGGUAAAUUUAUUGUCUCCAUCUAUUAAAGGCCGAGGGAAUCAUUCAUACAUGUAUAUUACAUGUUUGCAGCCUAAAGGUGUUGGGUUUUUUUUAAUUCAAGAGUUUAAAAGUUUAGAAAUGCCGACAUGAAGGUGGCCUGUGCAACUGUAAUUUGUCCCUUUUGUGCAUUUGCAUUAUGAUACAACUAUUUAAUUGUAAUUAGAUCACACGCUGUUCUUUCGACAGGUUCCCGGCCUCACUCAUUGUACAGAAUAGACUGUGCUCACUAAGUAAUAAUUUUAUUUUCUCCUCGCUGUUCACUAUGUGGCCCAUGCUUUAUUUACUGCACACUAUUCAAAUAUUGUUCUGAAGACAGAUUUAUUCAUUUCCUCCUGGGCUUUUCCAUGGUACUCAUCACUAUGGUAUCCAAGUGCUGCACAAACUCUAAUUUAUUUUCUCAACAGUGUUGCGAGAACUGGCGUUACCCUUAUUUAACAGAUGAGAAACUUAGGCAUACAGACAGAAUAGUAAAAAAUAUCUUUUAAUUUUAGAUAACCAAUUAGAAAUACUCAUGGCCUGAUUUUGUCAGAAGAUAUAACAUGGCAAAGCAUAUAAUUUAGUCAGAAGUCGAGUAAGUUCUUAUUUACUGCAGAUAUAUCUGCAAGUGCUCUUCACUUCUGCAAAUCAAACUUCAAAAUGUCAAAUCAGGCACCUAGGAAGGGAAGACUACACAAUUAGUGCAUUGCUGUGAAGUCUCUGCUUAAGCACUGUGCUUUGCGUCCCACAGGAGUCCUGGGGCUGAAGCCCUUUGCUGGAGCUGCCAGUAAAGAUGUGAGAGAUUUCCAGGUGGUCUUCACUCCCCUUCCUAAAUCCUCGGCCUUCCUGCCCUGCCUCCCUUCCUCAGUCCCUGUCAAUCCCAUUUCUAUACCACUGUUUCUAGUGAAUUCCCUCUUCCCGUUGCCCUUGCUGCAUCCCACACUCAGCCUCGGGGUCGCACAUCCUCCUCCCUCUCCCUGCUCCAGCUCACCUGUCUGAUCCCUUUUGCCCAGCGAGUUCUCCUUCAGCCCUUAGCCAGAGAUUGUACUGGUGUUGAUAGCCCCAGCAUGUCAUUUUCCUGGCAAUUUUCCCCCAUUCCCAGCCUGUUUUCAAGUCUUCUUCCAAUAGGCUGGCUUCCAGACUCUUGCUUAUGAGCUUUGCUUUAUCCCUCCCUCCAGGCAGUCCCAGUUUCCCCUUCCAACUCCCCGUUCCCGUUCACCGUCCCGGAGAACCUGUCUUUCUCCAGACCCUCUGUGCCUGCCAACAUACUCUGCCCCGACCCAGUUCUUGUCCUCACCACGUGUUAUUCAAGGAGCUUCCCGCUCGUGUUGCCCGAGACGACUGGAAGGACAGGUUCCCCGCUCGCCCUUCCUACCUUCAGACUUGGCAUGGUCCAGAGCAGCCGGGAACUGGAACUACAGGUCCAGCUCCGACUCCCACAGCCUGGGGCUGUGAGGCGCUGGGGGAGGAUGGAACCGCUGGAGAACCACACUGGGGAGCGCUGCUAAGCCCCCGCUGAGCACAAGCGGAAUUUUCAGUAGGGUUUUUCAUGGCAGGUUUGGAGGGAACGCCUCUGACGAAGUGACCAUUCUCCUUUUCAGACUCCAAGAACCCUGACAGAAGAAACGAAAGAAGAAAUGUUUAUAAUUUAACCCAAGGUAUGAACUUAGGAUGGUUAAAUUUCAGCACAGUGGUUAGUCUGGCACUAUUAAAAGUGACUGGAGGUAGGAUUUUAUGACGGGAAUUGCUAACCAGCUUUAAUAGGAGUUAUACUACCAGUCCUGCCUUUUAAUCAGUGCUUCCAUUUUCAGUAUAAAUUACAGUUUGUAGCUGGUAGUCCUUCUGGCAGAUCAGAUAUCAGCGUAACUCGGCAAGCGUAAUACGGAGAAACCCAAACAUCCUUCUGGGGAGGUAAUUAUUCAUCAUUGCCAAAAGGCUCCGGGAUAUUUUUAGUGGAGGACAAACCCCCUGUUUCCUGACAGAAACACCGAACAAAAUUGUAAAAUAAUGAAGCAAGUUUCAUGAUGAGAAACACUUCAGACACCUGUAUUGGCUGAGACUUUGUAGUCACGUCAAUGUUUAAUUAGUCACGCACGUCUCUGCAUCCCUAUGUACAGCAAAACGCACACCUGCGUUCUGGUGUGCUGCAAAAUGUGUCGGCGUCUGCCUCGCUGAAAAGCCUCUAAACAAGCAAAUCUGCAAAUCCCGCUGGUUAAGGGAUAAUUUCAUGGGAAGACGGAGGUGCCUACAGCAAGAGGGACACCUUUGCCACAUGCACAGAGGUUAUCAAAGUAAACUUUCCUGAAAUUAGUCCUCAACUCCUUAGCAGAAGUGUCACUUCCCGCUGUAAAACCCCGUUUCUUUCUGGAACAAAUUAUUUUAAGCUAGUUUUAAAACAUUUUGCGAUACAAACACAUGUUUUUGGGCAUGUACCCGUCUUUCCCAUCUCGUGGUGCCCCAGGGGUACGGUUAUCUCAUGGUUACCACUUCUUGAGCCCUGGCGCUCCGUGAUUUAUGUACUGAAAGAGACAAUUCAAUUAGUCAAUCAUAAAAUGAGCAAGGAUAACGUGCACAUUGUAAAAACACAGUUUAGUGGGCAACAAGCUGAGAUACAAAAAAAUAUAAGGGUAGACUUCAUAUGAUUAAUGAAGGAGGAAUGUAUAUUUAUAGCUCUUAUUGUGUCCUUUGUAAGGAUACGGGAUCCAACAGUACAACUAAAACCGCCUGGUAACCAUGCAGCAUUCAAAUGAUUUGGAUUUGAAUGGCAAAUGCUGUAUAAAACUAAUUACCCCCAGGAGGAUGAAAAUACAUUUCAUUUGCCUUUUCAAAGUAUGUUUGGUCUUUUCUUCACAUCUAUUUAUCCUUUGGUUUGUUGAGAAACAUGCCUGUUACGAAAGUCGACAUCCCAAAUUGAGCAGCAGAGGUGUCCUAACCAUCCCCCCCCCCCAAAGAAAACAAGUUUCUGCAAGUUAUUUUUACACGAUUAGUGUGAUUUCUGUUCUCUCGGUAGCUCUGGAGGCAGGAUUGCCGCAUCUCCCUGCCGGAUUCCAGCGACACACAGCGCAGCGACUCCUCGCUUCGCAGCUACUCCCCGACUCGCCGAAUGCGCAAGGAUAACCAGAUUGGCGCUUUUUAAUUUGUUUUGGCACGUCUUCGUGCACGCCACACGUGCAGCU
Long non-coding RNA from Chroicocephalus ridibundus (black-headed gull), 23443 nucleotides. RefSeq lists it as uncharacterized. Lineage: Eukaryota; Metazoa; Chordata; Aves; Charadriiformes; Laridae. The record is from RefSeq and is a predicted model, not a curated record. The transcript has 17 exons.